AAAUUGAAGAGUUUGAUCAUGGCUCAGAUUGAACGCUGGCGGCAGGCCUAACACAUGCAAGUCGAACGGUAACAGGAAACAGCUUGCUGUUUCGCUGACGAGUGGCGGACGGGUGAGUAAUGUCUGGGAAACUGCCUGAUGGAGGGGGAUAACUACUGGAAACGGUAGCUAAUACCGCAUAAUGUCGCAAGACUAAAGAGGGGGACCUUCGGGCCUCUUGCCAUCGGAUGUGCCCAGAUGGGAUUAGCUAGUAGGUGGGGUAACGGCUCACCUAGGCGACGAUCCCUAGCUGGUCUGAGAGGAUGACCAGCCACACUGGAACUGAGACACGGUCCAGACUCCUACGGGAGGCAGCAGUGGGGAAUAUUGCACAAUGGGCGCAAGCCUGAUGCAGCCAUGCCGCGUGUAUGAAGAAGGCCUUCGGGUUGUAAAGUACUUUCAGCGGGGAGGAAGGGAGUAAAGUUAAUACCUUUACUCAUUGACGUUACCCGCAGAAG
Molecule: ribosomal RNA, 497 nt
Filed under: Shigella sonnei
Lineage: Bacteria; Pseudomonadati; Pseudomonadota; Gammaproteobacteria; Enterobacterales; Enterobacteriaceae
Description: bacterial SSU rRNA
Rfam family: Bacterial small subunit ribosomal RNA
Source: RNAcentral